Molecule: non-coding RNA, 29 nt
Filed under: Drosophila melanogaster (fruit fly)
Lineage: Eukaryota; Metazoa; Arthropoda; Insecta; Diptera; Drosophilidae
Also listed under: 4 other names
Source: RNAcentral
AACGACUCUCGGCAACGGAUAUCUCGGCU